Non-coding RNA from Microcebus murinus (gray mouse lemur), 1007 nucleotides. NCBI's taxonomy places the organism in Eukaryota, Metazoa, Chordata, Mammalia, Primates, Cheirogaleidae. The record is from RefSeq and is a predicted model, not a curated record.
CGGUAGAGGUGACCUGACUCCCUCAGUCUCCCUGAGGCUCAUUUUGCAGGUGCUGCAAGUGUCCACACAGUUUGCAAUCAAGUCUGAACCAAUCAGAAUCCUUUAUGACUGGAGCAGCUGGUCAAAUUGCAUAUUCACUGCUGUACAAUAUUGGAAAUGGAUCUGUCUUUGGUAAAGACCGGCCUAUAAUUCUUGUGCUGUUGGAUAGUACCCCCAUGAUGGGGGUCCUGGAUGGUGUCUGAAUGGAACUGCAUGACUGUGCCCUUCCCCUCCUGAAAGAUGUUACCACAACAGACAAAGAAGAGGUUGCCUUCAAAGACCUGGAUGUGGCCAUUCUCAUGGGCUCCAUGCCAAGAAGGGAAGGCACAGGGAGGAAAGAUUUACCGAAAGCAAAUGUGAACAUCUUCAAAUCCCAGGGUGCAGCCUUGGAGAAAUAUUCCAAGAAGUCAGUGAAGGUGAUUGUUGUGGGUAACCCAGCCAAUACCAACUGCCUGACUGCCUCCAAGUCAGCUCUAUCCACCCCCAAGGAGAACUUCAGUUGCUUGGUGUGUUGGGAUCACAACCGAGCUAAAGCUCAAAUUGCUCCUAAACUUGGUGUGACUGCUGAUGAAAUAAAGAAUAAUGUCAUUAUCUGGGAAACCAUCUCCUUGCCUCAGUAUCCAGAGUCAAACACAUGCCCAAGUGAAAGUUCGCAAGGAAAGGAAUUGGUGUUUAUGAAGCCUGAAAGCAUGAAAGCGUGGCUCAAGGGAGAAUCUCAUCACGACUUGGCAGCACGUCAUGCGCCUGUCACCAAGGCUUGAAAAGUAUCCAGUGCGAUGUCUGCUGCAAAAGCCAUCUCUGACCAUGCCAGAGACAUCUGGUUUGGAACCCCAGAGGAUGGUGUCUGUCGGGAGAGGUGGUUAAUCGCCCAUGCAACCCUGUGUGUUUCUGAUGAUCUGCUCUACUCGUUCCCUGUUCUCGCAGUGUUGCAGCUGGUGAACAAAGAAGAGCAUUCUCAAAAGCAUUAA